RNAcentral lists this long non-coding RNA (1218 nucleotides) under Equus caballus (horse). Its description in RNAcentral is "lncRNA (ENSECAG00000047969.1)". Lineage: Eukaryota; Metazoa; Chordata; Mammalia; Perissodactyla; Equidae. The record is from RNAcentral.
ACUACUGCCCUCUUUACCCUCAGAAGUCACCAAACCUGAAGCUCAGAGUUCGCUGGAUUGGAAAAAGGCGCCUUGGUGCUUAGCUUAUCUCAUUAUAUCCCACUUUCUUUUAGGUUUUGACCUGGAGGGUUUUUUUUUUUAUCUUUCAGCUCGUUGAUGCUUUUAAGACGUUUUAUAUUUUUUCCAACACGUAUAGCUGUUUUCUCCUGAUGAGUUGGUUCAACUAAACCAGCUCCACCUAAACUACCUUAAUCAUUUUAAACUCAUGGUCAUUAACCUUCAAGGGGGCAUAAGGGCUCCCUGGUAAUGCUGCUCCCCUUCUCUGAUUCGUUCUCCCACCCGUCUGGAAGACUCUCACAUCUUUCUUUUUUCCUAUUUUCUUCAGAUCUCUUUUCCCAUUACACCUUGUGAGGGAGACCCUGGUGUGAAACCCUGAACGUGCUGAUGCAAGCAGAGGUGUGAAAACGUGCUUGGGUGUUUCCACUUCUGCUGUCUUGGACCCCACUUCUGCCAUGAGAACAUGCACAGCUUGCAUGCUGGAGGGAUGUGGAAGAUGCACAGAGAAGAGCUGAGUGAUCCCAGCAGAGGCCAUCCUAGACCAGCCAGCCCCCAGCGAGCUUGUCAGGGGCAGCAGAUGGCUGAGCGAGCCCAGCUGAGGGUCGCCAAGCAGCCUGUGGACUGGUGAGGAAUAAUAUAUGAAUUGCAGCUGUUUUAAGCCAUGAAGGAUUAGUUUGUUAUGCUGCAAUUGUGGAUUGAUAGAUGGUGUAAGCAGAAAACAAUCUUUGCCACCUGCUCUGUGGAUUAUUUCUGGCUCCUGGAUAAAAAUCCCAAGUUUGGGGGAGGGCUAGAGUGAGUUCUUGUUCGUGUCCAUGUUCAAGUUCAUGUUCACCACCAGUUACUUUCAAGUGUAAGAACCAUCUCUGUUAAGUAAUUAGGAUGUGCAGUCCGGUGUAACAAUCAAAACGUCAAAACUUUAUCAAAGAUAGAAGGUUCUGCCCUCUCCUGGCUGAGAAUGGUGGUGGGGAGGAGGAUGCGGUUGGAGUCUCUGUCUCCUUGCCCGGCCUCAUCAGGCAGUUGGAGCCAAGCAGGAGGGACAAACAAAGACGCCUGUGGCAGGUGCAGUUCCCUUCCUACACUAGCGCUCAGUGGCCCCAGCGGCUUUUCAAACCCGGCUCGCCUCCUCUGGCCUCCUUCCGUGUGCUUCUUGGCCCUCUUCCA